UUCCGGUUGAUCCUGCCGGCGGCCACCGCUAUUGGAAUUCGAUUAAGACAUGCGAGUCGAGAGUCGCAAGGACUCGGCGGACCGCUCAGUAACACGCGGAUAACAUGCCCUUGGGUGGGGGAUAACCUCGGGAAACUGAGAAUAAUACCCCAUAGAUCUAGAAAGCUGGAAUGCUUUUAGAUCGAAAACUCCGGUGCCCAAGGAUUGGUCUGCGGCGUAUCAGGUUGUAGUGGGUGUAACGGACCCCCUAGCCUAUGACGCGUAAGGGCCUUGAGAGAGGGAGCCCUGAGAUGGACUCUGAGACAUGAGUCCAGGCCCUACGGGGCGCAGCAGUCGCGAAAACUUCACAAUGGGGGAAACCCCGAUGAGGGAAUUCCAAGUGCCAGCACAUUGUGUUGGCUGUUCUCUGGUCUAAAAAACCGGAGAAGUAAGGGCCGGGUAAGACGGGUGCCAGCCGCCGCGGUAAUACCCGCGGCCCGAGUGGUGGUCGAUAUUAUUGAGCCUAAAACGUCCGUAGCCGGUUUUGUAAAUCCUUGGGUAAAUCGACCAGCUUAACUGUUCGAAGUCCGGGGAGACUGUAAGACUUGGGAUCGGGAGAGGUGAGAGGUACUUCUGGGGUAGGGGUAAAAUCCUGUAAUCCUAGAAGGACCACCGGUGGCGAAGGCGUCUCACUAGAACGAAUCCGACGGUGAGGGACGAAGCCCUGGGGCGCAAACGGGAUUAGAUACCCCGGUAGUCCAGGGUGUAAACGCUGCGGGCUUGGUGUUGGGGGUCCUUUGAGGGCGCCCAGUGCCGGAGAGAAGUUGUUAAGCCUGCUGCUUGGGGAGUACGUCCGCAAGGAUGAAACUUAAAGGAAUUGGCGGG
This 864-nucleotide ribosomal RNA is filed under the name uncultured euryarchaeote. RNAcentral describes it as "bacterial SSU rRNA". It matches the Rfam family "Archaeal small subunit ribosomal RNA", at positions 1 to 872 of the family's 1478-position model. The record is from RNAcentral. Lineage: Archaea; Methanobacteriati; Methanobacteriota.